UUGGUUGUGUUCUUCAGAAUACUAACUUGUCGAGUUAGAGGAUCUAAUAAUAAACACAACAAAA
This 64-nucleotide transfer RNA is filed under the name Physella acuta. RNAcentral describes it as "transfert RNA-D(GAC)". Lineage: Eukaryota; Metazoa; Mollusca; Gastropoda; Physidae. The record is from RNAcentral.